RNAcentral lists this small RNA (822 nucleotides) under Pan troglodytes (chimpanzee). Its description in RNAcentral is "processed transcript". Lineage: Eukaryota; Metazoa; Chordata; Mammalia; Primates; Hominidae. The record is from RNAcentral.
GCUGGCGGCUCCGCGACCAGCUUUGUUUUUUUGGUUGGGCAUGCUGCUUACCGCAAGAUGAUGGAAGGGACGGCCCGUACAAAGACAGAAGCGUUGGUUUCAUGCAGUAGUGUGGUUGACGGUAAUUUUGAAGAAGUUCCCAGGGAGACGGCAAUUCAGUUUAAACCUCCACUAUACAGACAGCGGUACCAGUUCGUUAAAAAUUUAGUGGAUCAACAUGAGCCUAAGAAGGGAUUCGUUAGCUCCUUUCCUGGGGGAUUUUCUGAAACCUCGGGAUCUGAAUUUGACCAUCACAUUGUAUCAUGGCUCCGUUGUGGAGAGAGACUCUCGUUUGCUUGGAUUUGACUUGAUAACGUGUAUUGAAUUAAUAGAACAUUUGGAUUCAGGUGAUCUGGCCAGAUUUCCUGAAGUGGUAUUUGGGUACCUGUCUCCAUCCAUGAUUGUCAUCAGCACACCAAACUCUGAAUUCAAUCCCCUGUUUCCAUCAGUGACCUUAAGAGAUUCAGAUCAUAAAUUUGAGUGGACCAGAAUGGAGUUUCAGACCUGGGCUUUAUAUGUGGCAAAUCGCUAUGAUUACUCUGUGGAGUUUACUGGUGUCGGGGAACCACCAGCUGGAGCUGAGAAUGUUGGAUACUGUACCCAGAUAGGAAUCUUCCGGAAAAAUGGAGGAAAGGCAACAGAAUCAUGUCUUUCAGAGCAGCAUGAUCAGCAUGUUUAUAAAGCUGUUUUUACCACCUCAUACCCAAGCUUACAGCAGGAAAGGUUCUUUAAACUUGUGUUGGUUAAUGAGGUGUCCCAACAAGUGGAAAGCUUAAGAGUGAG